CCCUUAGAUGUUCUGGGCCGCACGCGUGCUACACUGAGUGGAUCAGCGGGUCAGGUUGCGCGAAAGCGUUUCCUAAUCUUUAAAUCCGCUCGUGAUGGGGAUUGACGGUUGCAAUUUUCUGUCAUGAACGAGGAAUACCUUGUAAGCGCGGGUCAUCAUCCCGCGCUGAAUACGUCCCUGCCCUUUGUACACACCGCCCGUCGCUCCUACCGAUGGGUGAUCCGGUGAAUGAUUCGGACUUCAGCGGCUCCCCUGGGGUGCGCCGGAGAAAGUUUUGUGAACCUUAUCACUUGGAGGAAGGAGAAGUCGUAACG
RNAcentral lists this ribosomal RNA (314 nucleotides) under uncultured eukaryote. Its description in RNAcentral is "partial 18S ribosomal RNA". It matches the Rfam family "Eukaryotic small subunit ribosomal RNA", at positions 1470 to 1796 of the family's 1831-position model. The record is from RNAcentral.